RNAcentral lists this long non-coding RNA (333 nucleotides) under Glycine max (soybean). RNAcentral's name for it is "long non-coding RNA (GMAX_LNC004731)". Lineage: Eukaryota; Viridiplantae; Streptophyta; Magnoliopsida; Fabales; Fabaceae. The record is from RNAcentral.
GAAAGCAUACUUGAUCCUGGAAAUGGAAGGCGUGGAAUGGAUCAAGCGCGAAAGCACUGUCCUCAUUUUCUCUGUUGAGCUUUGGAAUUUUCUUUACGAGACGAAGCUUGUAGGGUUAGGAAUGGCGGAAAAGAAUAGAGAGAGAGUCAAGUAACUGGGAAGUGACUUUAUUCUAAUAGCCGCGUGACAUGAGCCUUCGCAUUCGCCCAGAAUACAGGAACAAACUUGGAAUGGGCACCAGGCGCAACCAAGUAAGCCCAAUUCUGUUCAAACAUUCUAGUCCCGGGUGUUACUAGGAGCACCCAGAAUUUUUUUCUGGGUACCCAACAACAC